Molecule: ribosomal RNA, 274 nt
Filed under: uncultured bacterium
Lineage: Bacteria
Description: partial 16S ribosomal RNA
Rfam family: Bacterial small subunit ribosomal RNA
Source: RNAcentral
CUACGGAGGGUGCAAGCGUUAUUCGGAAUCACUGGGCGUAAAGGACGCGUAGGCGGGUUGGCAAGUCAGAUGUGAAAUCCUACAGCUUAACUGUAGAACUGCAUUUGAAACUGCUAACCUAGAGUAUGGGAGGGGGAGAUGGAAUUAGUGGUGUAGGGGUAAAAUCCGUAGAUAUCACUAGGAAUACCGAAAGCGAAGGCGAUCUCCUGGAGCAUAACUGACGCUAAGGCGUGAAAGCGUGGGGAGCAAACAGGAUUAGAAACCCUAGUAGUCC